GAUGAAGAACGUAGCGAAAUGCGAUAAGUAAUGUGAAUUGCAGAAUUCAGUGAACCAUCGAAUCUUUGAACGCUCAUUGCGCCCGCCAGUAUUCUGGCGGGCAUGCCUGUUCGAGCGUCAUUUCAACCCUCAAGCCCCCGGGCUUGGUGUUGGGGAUCGGCACAAGGCGCUGGCACCCUCGGGAGCCCGCGCCCGCCGUCCCCCAAAUCCAGUGGCGGUCACGCCGUGUGUACCUCAGCGUAGUAGCAACACCUCGUUCCGGAACCCUUCUGUGAACCACGCCGUAAAACCCCCGACUUUUUUCUGGUUGACCUCGAAUCAGGUAGGACUACCCGCUGAACUUAAGCAUAUCAAUAAGCGGAGGA
This 365-nucleotide unclassified non-coding RNA is filed under the name soil metagenome. RNAcentral describes it as "partial contains 5.8S ribosomal RNA, internal transcribed spacer 2, and large subunit ribosomal RNA". The stretch from base 1 to 120 matches the Rfam family "5.8S ribosomal RNA", at positions 35 to 154 of the family's 154-position model. The record is from RNAcentral.